UUCAAGACCUAGGGGCUGGGUGUGCAUUUCAUUUCUCUUACAUAGGAUGCUAAGCUGAGUGGACUUAAGGUAUAGGUAAAAACAUAGAUGCCAGCAGAUGAGCCUCUAGUUGACUAAUUUCUCUUUUAGAAAACCUUCCUUAAGAAAAGCAGAAAAUUCUCAUGUUUCCAAAAUGGUCCCUUCCCUGCCCUUUCCACUAGAAGCACGGAGUAUUUUUCUAUGCUCCUUAAUGUGCACCUGAUUGGAAUUUUGGAUGUAAGUUGCACAGAAUUGUGAGAGCAUCCUCUUGUGCUGGCUUCUGAGAAUUUAAACAUUUAUAUUCAUAUAUACUAAGUGUUCAACAGUUCAUGCAACAUAGUUCAGGUUUCCAACACAAUUCCUGCUUCCAUGGCUACACCCCUUUCUAAUCCUCUGCUCCUGUACACCAUGACUCCCUGAUUUUUCCAUGUCUGUUUCCUCUUGGCAGUAGCAGUUUGCCCCAUACCUUCUCUAUAAGACCUGAGAAAUCUGUUUAACUUCUUCAUUCUGCUUUUGUUGUUAGAGCAACAUGGCAUCUUCAUACUCCAUAUGUUGAAAAACAGUACACUGAGUUCUCAUAAAUGUUAUGUGUUAUCUCCCUGCCUUUCUUUGGAGACAUUUCUGAAAUGUUAUUCCUUUAGUUUUCUCGGCCUGUCACAGCCUAGAGGACUUGGUGAACUUCCCUUCAACAUUCAUCACUGAGCAUCAUCUGCUCCAUGCCCUGUCUUGAAAUCCUUCUACAUCAACUCCAAGAAACUGUUAAUAAUGUAUCCUAAGGAUCUGAUUUCCUUUUCCUAUUGUUCACUGCAUAUAUUAUCUUUAUAUCAAUAAAAAUGCUGUCACGUAAUUUUCCUAAAUAGGCAAUGAUUGAUCGUUAACUAUUUAACCAAUUUUAAGCCCCCAGCCCAGCCCUCAUGUAAUAAAAUCCCUCAUGUUCUAGUCUACCUGCUAGUACUAUCAUGGCUUCUUCCCAUUUCCAUGUUUGCAUGUCCUGGUGAGCUACCUGGUUAGUAACUUCUCAGUUCUCCCUGCUUUCACAAUUUCCUAACUACACACCGAGUAUUCUUCAUGACCUCAAAUGUUUCUCGACCCACUGAGCUCUUCUGAAAACCCUCCCUUAUCCAUUAAGUCUCAGCUUCUCUCCCCUCUUGCCUAUUGCUUUUGAAAAAGAACUCACUACUGUGUUGUUCUUUCUGUUUGGUUUCUAUGUAUUGUCCCCCUUCCUCCUUUCAUAGGCCUGUGAAUUUCUAGUGAUCAGGGAAGGAAUGUCUUCCUUAUAUCACUAGCAGUAAGCACUGCUUCUAUGUGGACAGAGGUGAGAUUCACUGUGCUGCUGAGUGCCAUGUUGACCUUAAUACAUGGUGUGAGUCUUAUGAACUUUUUGAUAACUCCAUCAAUAUCGUUUUCUUUUGUAUGUUGAAUUAUAAGCUACUUGGCAUAAGGGUUCUUGCUUUUAAAAGUCACACAGAUUUAGCCAAUAAAUAGUUUGAAGUGUUUAUGUACCAAUCAGGUCACAUUUGCAAGGCCCAACCCUAGAAGCCAUUUUUGCUAGUGAAGAGCCUGCAGUGUAAAGGGCUUCCCAUCUGUGUGUACUCUAUCUUUCACUAGAUCAAAUAGGGUAGAAGUGACUAUUUUCCAAUCUAUACAUUCUGGACUUGACUCAGAAAGGGAUAUACAGACUAAAUCCAGGGACUAGAUGUAGGGAUGGGAUAUAUUUUUUCAACAGUCAUCAUUUAACAGUGUUUUAUAAGCACAUACUGCAGGGAAAUAGGGCUAAUAAGCAUAGUCUCAAUAAAAAUUAAAGGGAUGUGUGUGUUUGGAGUGUUUUUUCCAAUCAUUAUAUUGAUGAUGUAAGAAUAUAAAUAUUCUGCACAGGAAAUACAAACACACUUAAAGAAAUGUAAAUUAUUUGUUAAGAAACCAUAUUUACCUGUGAGCAUAAGGAGCUAAAAGCAGAGAAUUGUUUCAUGUUCUUUAUACACUAGUUAACUCACUGUGUGUCAAGCAUAUGAUUAAGUAACAGCCAUUUUGAUUGUCCUUGAGUGUUACAGAGGAUGACUAGACUCCCUUAACUUAUUCUGGGCAACGAUUUCUUUAAUGCUUAGUAAAAGAACCUCUGUCCUGUUCUGAUCAGAAAAUGCCCCUUCCUGACUUCAGGCAUCUAUAAAACAGCAAGACAUACUAGUUUAUCAAUAUAACCUUAUUGAUUAAGAAGCCUUGUGAUUGUAUACAACAGAAACUCCAUGGAAAAAACUUCAGAGUGCCUUUGACAUCUACAGAAUAAGAUCAAAAUCAAAAGGUAGGCAGAGGACAAUUUCCUGCUAAUUAGAGAAAAGGGGCUUUAUUUUUAUAAUUACUGAAAAGUUCCAAGAAUACUACAAAGCUACUCCUAAUUACACCCUUCAUUUGUCUCUCCCUACUUCUAGGAAAUUAGCAUUUUCAAAAUACAAUAGUAUUUGAAAAUACCUUAUUACCAAUAGGGUAACUUUCAGGUCAUAUUAAAAUUCACCAGUGUUUGCCUCUUCCACCAUGUAAUUUUUUUCCGUUCUAGAAUUCCAUCCAAGACCUCAGUUUGUGUUUAGUUUUCAUGUCCCAUUAGUUUGUUCCAAUUUGAGACAGUCCCUGAUUUUUUUCCCCUUAUCUUUUGUGAUUUGGGCAAUUUUUAAUGGGUCUUGUACAUUUGUUAUACAAAAUAUGAUUCAGUGAAAAAUAGCAGAGAAAUCCUUGUGCUGUUCCCUGGGAAUCAUAUGAAGGGUGCAUGAGUGUCUCACUACUGGGGAUAUUAGCCUCCAACACUCCUUUAAGAGGAUGGCUAAAGGGCCUACUCUUCUCUUUCAAUUGAUGUGUCUGGAGACAUCUAUUUGGAGUUAAUCUUAUACCACAUGCAUUUCAUCCCUAACAUUUGCACAGUGAUUUUUAGAGCACAGUGAUAGAUGUCUCCUGUAUUGGUGGCAUUUACCUAAUGGCUGUUUUGUAUUGUCCUAAGGUGACAAUUAUUCUGUCCUUAUGGAAAAUACCAUUUAACAUGCUAUAAGAUAAAAAGGAGUAAAAUAGUGUUUAAUAGUAUUUAAUGACUUAGUCAAAUGCAAGAAAUUUCACUAGCAUAUGGCAUAUGCAUAUGUAUUUAGAGCUGUGUGUUUAUAUGUAAAUUCUAUACUAUAUACAGAUUAUGAUAUUAAUACUUAUGUCAUAUGUCUAGUAUACAUCUCUAUAAUAAAUAAAAGCCAUCUGAGCAUAUAUGUUCAUGGUUAUAAGAUACAGGCAUACUGUCUGUAUGAUAUACUAUUAUGGUAUCUAUGUUUGUUUGUUUAGAAAUAUAUUCUAAGCAUCCUUCCACACAGGUGUGCUUCCUCUCACUGAAAGGCUGGCAUCGUUCCAUUGCAAUGAGCGUCGUUAAUUUAUUUGACUCUCUUCAUUGGCGUUUUACUUUAGCUUUUGUAUUUUUGAUUGCAGAUAGUCUUUAUGCAUCUUUAUGUAGCUCUCAAGCUAAGGAUAUAUUCAUUUUUAUGCAGAUUUUCUGUCCUACAAGGUUGGUGCCAAUUUAUUCUCUUGCCAGCAGCAUAUGUGCAUGCAAGAUGCAGUGUGUCUUCCCCUAAUACUGGCUACCAUGCUCUUAUGAAUCUCUUUUUUAUUAUCUCUUUUCUGAUACAUUAGAGUAUUUUUCCUGUUUCCCUGCCAUCUUUCUAUAUACUGUGCUCACUUCCUUUCCUGUACUUAUCGCCAAGAUGGCAUUGUUUAUUUUUGAAAUCUGUGUGCAUCAUAACCCUUCUCACUCAGAGGAGGCUGUGAUACUUAAUACUGCAGCAGUCCCCGCCCCCAACACCAUCAAUUGUUUUACUUAGAACAGUUGACACUCAAUUAUGUAUCUUCCUCAACUCUUAGGUGUUAAGUCUUAGGAUGAAGGACUUUAUAUUCAGUAUCUGUCAGGGUCGCCUCCUCUUACAUAUUCUAAUUAACUGUGACACUUGUCUACCUUCUAAAACCAGUUACCAAGCUGUGUCUUGAUGCUAAAGGUGAAGACAUUGUCCUCCUCUCCAUUUAAAUCACCUCCAUGCUGCUCCCUGCUCUGCUCCUGGAGCGUCUCACCACUGGAAUCUGUAUUCCAUGCUAGUUUGAUUUCCUGUGUCUCCUUCAUGCCCAGGGUUGCCAAGUCAUUCGUGAAAAUGCUGAUUUACAUAUCAAUGUUUCAUCUGCAUUUAUGAUUGUUUCUUUGGGGUUUCUUCAAAAUAAAACCCAAAAUUUGCUC
RNAcentral lists this long non-coding RNA (4264 nucleotides) under Mus musculus (house mouse). Its description in RNAcentral is "long non-coding RNA chr2:124198152-124202416". Lineage: Eukaryota; Metazoa; Chordata; Mammalia; Rodentia; Muridae. The record is from RNAcentral.